This 348-nucleotide ribosomal RNA is filed under the name uncultured bacterium. Its description in RNAcentral is "SSU rRNA". It matches the Rfam family "Bacterial small subunit ribosomal RNA", at positions 128 to 479 of the family's 1533-position model. The record is from RNAcentral.
GCCUUAUAGAGGGGGAUANCCCGGGGAAACCCGGGCUAAUACCGCAUAAUACUCGAGAGAGGAAAGUAGGGGACCGGAAGGCCUUACGUUAUGAGAUGAGCCUGCGUUGGAUUAGCUAGUUGGUGGGGUAAAGGCCUACCAAGGCGACGAUCUAUAACUGGUCUGAGAGGAUGACCAGUCACACUGGGACUGAGACACGGCCCAGACUCCUACGGGAGGCAGCAGUGGGGAAUAUUGGACAAUGGGGGCAACCCUGAUCCAGCAAUGCCGCGUGUGUGAAGAAGGCCUGCGGGUUGUAAAGCACUUUAGGCGGAGAGGAAGUGUAGCUGAUGAAUAGUUGGUUGCAUU